ACACCCAAGAAGCUAUACCUCACGCAUCCAUCCAUGCAUCAGAAGUAUUUUGAUUACCUGAUGUCUUUGGGUUACGACAUGGUGAAGUGUUCAGCUCAUAAGACCAAUAAGAUGAGGUAUCAGAUAGCCGAGUAUGAUGUCUGCAUUGUGCUAACGCAUGCAUGACCUAUGUGUCCGCACCCGUGCGCUGUCAAUUCUAGAACCCGAGUCCCUACACGUAAACAAUCACCGCGAAAUGUUCGGGGCCAUCGCUGACCUACUGGCCCAGCAGAGUUAGCAGAGCUGAAGACACACUUCUACCACGUCCGUGUUGGGUAGAACGG
Molecule: long non-coding RNA, 323 nt
Filed under: Chlamydomonas reinhardtii
Lineage: Eukaryota; Viridiplantae; Chlorophyta; Chlorophyceae; Chlamydomonadales; Chlamydomonadaceae
Description: long non-coding RNA (CREI_LNC001486)
Source: RNAcentral